This 254-nucleotide ribosomal RNA is filed under the name uncultured bacterium. RNAcentral describes it as "partial 16S ribosomal RNA". It matches the Rfam family "Bacterial small subunit ribosomal RNA", at positions 524 to 776 of the family's 1533-position model. The record is from RNAcentral.
UACGGGGGGAGCAAGCGUUGUUCGGAUUUACUGGGCGUAAAGGGCGCGUAGGCGGCCACGACAAGUCACUUGUGAAAUCUCCGGGCUUAACUCGGAAAGGUCAAGUGAUACUGUCGGGCUAGAGUGCAGAAGGGGCAACUGGAAUUCUCGGUGUAGCGGUGAAAUGCGUAGAUAUCGAGAGGAACACCUGCGGCGAAGGCGGGUUGCUGGGCUGACACUGACGCUGAGGCGCGAAAGCCAGGGGAGCGAACAGG